CUGGCUCAGAACGAACGCUGGCGGCGCGUCUUAAGCAUGCAAGUCGGGCGGCAAGGAUGUGCUUGCACAUCCCUAGAGCGGCGGACUGGUGAGUAACGCGUGGGUGACGCACCCCCCGGACGGGGAUAGCCUGUGGAAACACAGGGUAAUACCGGAUACGGUUCCGUGAGCUGGAGUCACGGAAGGAAAGGAGCUUCGGCUCCGCCGGGGGAGCGGCCUGCGGCCCAUCAGCUUGUGGCGGGGUAAAGGCCCACCAAGGCGACGACGGGUACCCGGCCUGAGAGGGCGACCGGGCACAUUGGGACUGAGAUACGGCCCAGACUCCUACGGGAGGCAGCAGCUAAGAAUAUUCCGCAAUGCGCGAAAGCGUGACGGAGCGACGCCGCGUGGACGAUGAAGGCCGGAAGGUUGCAGAGUCCUUUGGCACGCGAGGAAGGAGCGGGGGAGGAAAUGAUCCCGCGGUGACUGUAGCGUGAGAACAAGCACCGGCUAAUUACGUGCCAGCCGCGGC
Molecule: ribosomal RNA, 511 nt
Filed under: uncultured bacterium
Lineage: Bacteria
Description: bacterial SSU rRNA
Rfam family: Bacterial small subunit ribosomal RNA
Source: RNAcentral